Non-coding RNA from Sesamum indicum (sesame), 1378 nucleotides. The record is from RefSeq and is a predicted model, not a curated record. Lineage: Eukaryota; Viridiplantae; Streptophyta; Magnoliopsida; Lamiales; Pedaliaceae.
CGCUAUCUCGGUUGAUUAUAACUUUUCUAUCCGAACCUGAAUAGCUCUGCCCUCGUGAAGUAGCCAAACAGCAGAGAGCACAUUCCUGAUUUUCAAUUAUUUUGUCUUUCUUGAAUUCCAAAGAAGAUGAGGGUUUCUACACGGGCUGUUAUUCGUUGAGGAUUUGCUGCAAACAAGAGAGAUGUAUUCAUCAAGUAGAUGAUGCUGUUUUCCUUUUUCGUGAAUGCUCGGAAUGCGCCCACAGGCUUCUAUUGUUAAUUUCAAUAAACUAUUGUCUGCUGUUGUCAAGAUGAAGCGAUACCCCAUUGCCCUUAAUGUAUUCUACGAAAUGCGUCAAUUGGAAUCCCUGUCAACCAGUGGACAAUGAACAUAGUAAUCAAUUGCUAUUGCCUCCUGAAUCGAACAGACUUUGGAUUUGCUAUCUUCGGCAGCUUCUUCAAGGUCGGUUACGAGCCUGAUGUCACUACUUUCACCACACUUAUAAAAGAUGGGCUAUGCAAAGCUGGACACACUCUCACUGUGUAUGAUUUGCUUGGGUAUUUGAGAAGACAAGCUGGAAACCUGAUGUUCUUUCUUAUAACACAGUGAUUGACAGUUUAUGCAAGGAUCGCCAGCGCUCCGAGCCAAAAUGAUUGAUAAGGGCAUUUCACCCGGACAUUGUAAUGUAUAGUUCAGUGGUUCAAGGUUUGUGCAGUUUCUGCCGAUGGAAAGAUGCGUAAGACUUAAUUGCUGAAAUGGUGGAUUACAAGAUAUCUCUAAAUGUGAUUACUUUUGGUAUAUUGGUGGAUGCAUUUUGCAAAGAAGGAAUGGUGAAAGAGGCUGAGGAUGUUGUUGAAAUUAUGAUGCAAAGAAACAUUGCUCCUAAUACUGUCACAUGCUUCUUUGCAUCAUAAUUUCAACAACAUCCUCAGCCUCUUUGACCAUUCCUUCCUUGCAAAAUGCAUCCACCAAUAUAUUAAAAGUAAUCACAUCUAGAGAUAUCCUGUGAUCCACCAUUUCAGCAAUUAAGUCUUUCGCAUCUUUCCAUAUACGUUACAAUGUCCGGUGAAUGCCCUUAUCAAUCAUUUUGGCUAGGAGUUGGAGCGCAUCCUCAACCAUGCGAUCCUUGCAUAAACUGUCAAUCACUGUGCUUCAGUAGAAUAAGUGAGAGUUCUCGUCUGCACAUUUCAUCGAAGAAUGUCUUUGCUUCAAAAAGCUCGUUCCUAUUAAGCAACCCCUUGAUUUUAAUAUCGUAUGACCUUGUUUCAUACAAUUGAUCGCUAGCACGUAAAUUCAAAUACUUUUUUUUUUUUUUUCUUUCGGAGCAUAUAUCCCUCUUUAGUGUUUGAGUGAGGCGCUUAUUCAUGUUAAUAAAAGCAGAAUAUAUGGAUAUUAUAUG